UCCGCUGUGAGGCGGAAUCUGAAGGAAGCCAGAUGUAGGGAGCAUACUAACCUGCGGGCAAAUCUCCGGUCUGACGAACAGAAAUCACAUAGGAGGUUAUGCAUGAGGGUAAGACUGCAAUAUAAACCGAAGCCCAGUAACUACACGGAAUCAUGCAUGAUAGAUGUGGCAGAUGGAUGGAUAGAAAGAAACGUGU
Non-coding RNA from Eubacterium plexicaudatum ASF492, 196 nucleotides. Lineage: Bacteria; Bacillati; Bacillota; Clostridia; Eubacteriales; Eubacteriaceae. The record is from Rfam.